UUCAAAAUGAAACCCUAGCCUUCAAACAAUUUUCAGCUCUAGCCGCCGCACGAGCAAACUGGUUCGUCCGCGCGAGUGCCAGCAGUCUUCGAUGCCAGAUCCACACGCUCCAUCUCCAGGCUGGAUAGGCACCUGCAACAAACAAACUCAAGAGAAACAAAAACAAACAAUACCCAUGGAAAAAAACAAAAACGGAUAACAAAC
This 204-nucleotide long non-coding RNA is filed under the name Gossypium raimondii (Peruvian cotton). RNAcentral's name for it is "long non-coding RNA (GRAI_LNC001954)". Lineage: Eukaryota; Viridiplantae; Streptophyta; Magnoliopsida; Malvales; Malvaceae. The record is from RNAcentral.